AAGACUCUAUUGAAGUGCUGGAUCAUUUUGACUCUGAGAAUGCUAAUUCUAUAACUUUUAAUGGUCCCCAUUUCACAUACGAGUUACCAGGAAAAAUUGCCAAAAUGUUGUAUCCACAUCAGCGUGAUGGCUUGAAGUGGCUUUGGUGUCUGCAUUGUCAGGGUAAGGGUGGAAUCCUGGGGGAUGACAUGGGUCUAGGGAAAACAAUGCAGAUUUGUAGUUUUCUAGCUGGUUUAUUCAAUUCACGUUUGAUUAAAAGGGCAUUGGUGGUGGCACC
Molecule: long non-coding RNA, 277 nt
Organism: Neltuma alba
Lineage: Eukaryota; Viridiplantae; Streptophyta; Magnoliopsida; Fabales; Fabaceae
Exons: 2
Source: RefSeq, a predicted model, not a curated record